Molecule: ribosomal RNA, 433 nt
Filed under: uncultured bacterium
Lineage: Bacteria
Description: partial 16S ribosomal RNA
Rfam family: Bacterial small subunit ribosomal RNA
Source: RNAcentral
AACGAACGCUGGCGGCAUGCCUAACACAUGCAAGUCGAACGAGACCUUCGGGUCUAGUGGCGCACGGGUGCGUAACGCGUGGGAACCUGCCUUUAGGUUCGGAAUAACUCAGAGAAAUUUGAGCUAAUACCGGAUGAUGUCUUCGGACCAAAGAUUUAUCGCCUUUAGAUGGGCCCGCGUUGGAUUAGCUAGUUGGUGGGGUAAAGGCCUACCAAGGCGACGAUCCAUAGCUGGUCUGAGAGGAUGAUCAGCCACACUGGGACUGAGACACGGCCCAGACUCCUACGGGAGGCAGCAGUGGGGAAUAUUGGACAAUGGGCGAAAGCCUGAUCCAGCAAUGCCGCGUGAGUGAUGAAGGCCUUAGGGUGGUAAAGCUCUUUUACCCGAGAUGAUAAUGACAGUAUCGGGAGAAUAAGCUCCGGCUAACUCCGUG